GCCACGGAAUAGCUCAGUUGGUAGAGCAGAAGAAUCUUAAUCUCAGGGACAUGGGUUCGAGCACCAUGUUGGGCA
Molecule: non-coding RNA, 75 nt
Organism: Podarcis lilfordi (Lilford's wall lizard)
Lineage: Eukaryota; Metazoa; Chordata; Lepidosauria; Squamata; Lacertidae
Source: the annotation of a GenBank genome assembly